UACGGAGGGUGCAAGCGUUAUCCGGAUUUACUGGGCUUAAAGGGUGCGUAGGUGGGUAGGUAAGUCAGUGGUGAAAUCUUCGGGCUUAACCCGGAAACUGCCAUUGAUACUAUUUAUCUUGAAUACUUUGGAGGUAAGCGGAAUAUGUCAUGUAGCGGUGAAAUGCUUAGAUAUGACAUAGAACACCAAUUGCGAAGGCAGCUUACUACACAGUUAUUGACACUGAGGCACGAAAGCGUGGGGAGCAAACAGG
RNAcentral lists this ribosomal RNA (253 nucleotides) under uncultured bacterium. Its description in RNAcentral is "partial 16S ribosomal RNA". It matches the Rfam family "Bacterial small subunit ribosomal RNA", at positions 524 to 776 of the family's 1533-position model. The record is from RNAcentral.